AACGAGUGUAAACAAGACGUCAACGUGUUUCGGUGAAACAGUGAAUCGUCGGUUACCAGUGAGCACGUGCCUUUGGAUACGGCGCCGAGUGUUUGUUACAGCUUGUGGAAAAGGGUACUGUACUCUAUUAUUUUGCUUAUAUUUUUUUUCAUUUUCGGUUCCAUUUCUAGAAUAAACUAAACAUUAAGUGAACGAAUCCUAAUUGCAGUGAUCGAAAAAAACUAGAUUUAAAACUUAAUGAUAACAAUAAGUGAAUUCGGUGAAUAAUUCAGUGAGAAAUAUCGGAUAUUGACAGCGAAGGACAACGAAACAAAGUGAAUAACAAGUGAAUACGGUGAAUAAUACAGUGAGAAAUAUCGGAUAUUGACAGCGAAGGACAACGAAACAAAAACGCUGGAGAGAGGAAAUCGCUUUGGUGACGAAGGGCUCCUCCAAGGCAGAUGGUUCAAAGUUCAUCUCCGUAAAGUGAUGUUGCAAGCGUGACUGGACUGGUUGCAGCUACAAGUUUGAAGCUACUGACUGUGUCUUAGCGUGAAGGAAAACCUCGGCGCAUCCUCGGCAGCUCAGGUUGGAGCUGUUUUCUUCAGUGGUCGGAGUCGCUGCGAAUAACUCGGAACGGUAAGUGUU
Molecule: long non-coding RNA, 627 nt
Organism: Penaeus indicus
Lineage: Eukaryota; Metazoa; Arthropoda; Malacostraca; Decapoda; Penaeidae
Exons: 7
Source: RefSeq, a predicted model, not a curated record